Molecule: ribosomal RNA, 253 nt
Filed under: uncultured bacterium
Lineage: Bacteria
Description: partial 16S ribosomal RNA
Rfam family: Bacterial small subunit ribosomal RNA
Source: RNAcentral
UACAGAGGUCUCAAGCGUUGUUCGGAUUCAUUGGGCGUAAAGGGUGCGUAGGCGGCGCGGUAAGUCGGGUGUGAAAUCUCGGAGCUUAACUCCGAAACUGCAUUCGAUACUGCCGUGCUUGAGGACUGGAGAGGAGACUGGAAUUUACGGUGUAGCGGUGAAAUGCGUAGAUAUCAGGAGGAACACCGGUGGCGAAGGCGGUUCUCUGGGCAUGACCUGACGCUGAGGAGCGAAAGUGUGGGGAGCGAACAGG